Molecule: ribosomal RNA, 250 nt
Filed under: uncultured bacterium
Lineage: Bacteria
Description: partial 16S ribosomal RNA
Rfam family: Bacterial small subunit ribosomal RNA
Source: RNAcentral
UACGGAGGGUGCAAGCGUUAUCCGGAAUCAUUGGGUUUAAAGGGUCCGCAGGCGGUCAAUUAAGUCAGAGGUGAAAUCCCGUCGCUCAACGACGGAACUGCCUUUGAUACUGGUUGACUUGAAUUAUACGGAAGUAGAUAGAAUAAGUAGUGUAGCGGUGAAAUGCAUAGAGAUUACUUAGAAUACCGAUUGCGAAGGCAGUCUACUACGUAUAUAUUGACGCUCAUGGACGAAAGCGUGGGGAGCGAAC